RNAcentral lists this ribosomal RNA (253 nucleotides) under uncultured bacterium. RNAcentral describes it as "partial 16S ribosomal RNA". It matches the Rfam family "Bacterial small subunit ribosomal RNA", at positions 524 to 776 of the family's 1533-position model. The record is from RNAcentral.
UACAGAGGUGCCAAGCGUUAGGCGGAAUCACUGGGCUUAAAGCGCGCGUAGGCGGACGUUUAAGUGUCUUGUGAAAUCCCACGGCUCAACCGUGGAACUGCUGGGCAUACUGGACGUCUCGAGGCACUCAGGGGCGGGCGGAACAAGUGGUGGAGCGGUGAAAUGCGUAGAUAUCACUUGGAACGCCAAUGGUGAAGACAGCUCGCUGGGGGUGUCCUGACGCUGAGGCGCGAAAGCCAGGGGAGCGAACGGG